RNAcentral lists this ribosomal RNA (237 nucleotides) under uncultured Staphylococcus sp. Its description in RNAcentral is "partial 16S ribosomal RNA". It matches the Rfam family "Bacterial small subunit ribosomal RNA", at positions 103 to 334 of the family's 1533-position model. The record is from RNAcentral. Lineage: Bacteria; Bacillati; Bacillota; Bacilli; Caryophanales; Staphylococcaceae.
CGGGUGAGUAACACGUGGAUAACCUACCUAUAAGACUGGGAUAACUUCGGGAAACCGGAGCUAAUACCGGAUAAUAUAUUGAACCGCAUGGUUCAAUAGUGAAAGACGGUUUUGCUGCCACUUAUAGAUGGAUCCGCGCCGCAUUAGCUAGUUGGUAAGGUAACGGCUUACCAAGGCAACGAUGCGUAGCCGACCUGAGAGGGUGAUCGGCCACACUGGAACUGAGACACGGUCCAG